Molecule: ribosomal RNA, 557 nt
Filed under: uncultured Devosia sp.
Lineage: Bacteria; Pseudomonadati; Pseudomonadota; Alphaproteobacteria; Hyphomicrobiales; Devosiaceae
Description: bacterial SSU rRNA
Rfam family: Bacterial small subunit ribosomal RNA
Source: RNAcentral
ACGGGUGAGUAACGCGUGGGAAUCUACCCAGAUCUUCGGAACAACUGAGGGAAACUUCAGCUAAUACCGGAUACGCCCUACGGGGGAAAGAUUUAUCGGUUCUGGAUGAGCCCGCGUUGGAUUAGCUAGUUGGUGAGGUAAUGGCUCACCAAGGCGACGAUCCAUAGCUGGUCUGAGAGGAUGAUCAGCCACACUGGGACUGAGACACGGCCCAGACUCCUACGGGAGGCAGCAGUGGGGAAUAUUGGACAAUGGGCGAAAGCCUGAUCCAGUCAUGCCGCGUGAGUGAUGAAGGCCUUAGGGUUGUAAAGCUCUUUCAGUAGGGAAGAUAAUGACGGUACCUACAGAAGAAGCCCCGGCUAACUUCGUGCCAGCAGCCGCGGUAAUACGAAGGGGGCUAGCGUUGUUCGGAUUUACUGGGCGUAAAGCGCACGUAGGCGGAUCGUUAAGUCGGGGGUGAAAUCCUGGAGCUCAACUCCAGAACUGCCUUCGAUACUGGCGAUCUUGAGUCCGGAAGAGGUGAGUGGAACUCCUAGUGUAGAGGUGGAAUUCGUAGA